AGAGUUUGAUCCUGGCUCAGGAUGAACGCUAGCUACAGGCUUAACACAUGCAAGUCGAGGGGCAGCAUGAAGUUUGCUUGCAACUUUGAUGGCGACCGGCGCACGGGUGAGUAACGCGUAUCCAACCUUCCCUAUACUAGAGGAUAGCCCGGCGAAAGUCGGAUUAAUACUCUAUGUUGUAUUUCGAGGACAUCUGAAUAAUACCAAAGGUUUACCGGUAUAGGAUGGGGAUGCGUCUGAUUAGGUUGUUGGCGGGGUAACGGCCCACCAAGCCUACGAUCAGUAGGGGUUCUGAGAGGAAGGUCCCCCACAUUGGAACUGAGACACGGUCCAAACUCCUACGGGAGGCAGCAGUGAGGAAUAUUGGUCAAUGGACGAGAGUCUGAACCAGCCAAGUAGCCGUGCAGGAUGACGGCCCUAUGGGUUGUAAACUGCUUUUAUACAGGGAUAAAGUGACGUACGUGUACGUUUUUGUAGGUACUGUAUGAAUAAGGACCGGCUAAUUCCGUGCCAGCCGCUGC
Molecule: ribosomal RNA, 521 nt
Filed under: uncultured bacterium
Lineage: Bacteria
Description: bacterial SSU rRNA
Rfam family: Bacterial small subunit ribosomal RNA
Source: RNAcentral